CCUAACACAUGCAAGUCGAGCGGCAGCGGAAAGUAGCUUGCUACUUUGCCGGCGAGCGGCGGACGGGUGAGUAAUGUCUGGGAAACUGCCUGAUGGAGGGGGACAACUACUGGAAACGGUAGCUAAUACCGCAUAACGUCGCAAGACCAAAGAGGGGGACCUUCGGGCCUCUUGCCAUCAGAUGUGCCCAGAUGGGAUUAGCUAGUAGGUGGGGUAACGGCUCACCUAGGCGACGAUCCCUAGCUGGUCUGAGAGGAUGACCAGCCACACUGGAACUGAGACACGGUCCAGACUCCUACGGGAGGCAGCAGUGGGGAAUAUUGCACAAUGGGCGCAAGCCUGAUGCAGCCAUGCCGCGUGUAUGAAGAAGGCCUUCGGGUUGUAAAGUACUUUCAGCGGGGAGGAAGGUGUUGAGGUUAAUAACCUCAGCAAUUGACGUUACCCGCAGAAGAAGCACCGGCUAACUCCGUGCCAGCAGCCGCGGUAAUACGGAGGGUGCAAGCGUUAAUCGGAAUUACUGGGCGUAAAGCGCACGCAGGCGGUCUGUCAAGUCGGAUGUGAAAUCCCCGGGCUCAACCUGGGAACUGCAUUCGAAACUGGCAGGCUAGAGUCUUGUAGAGGGGGGUAGAAUUCCAGGUGUAGCGGUGAAAUGCGUAGAGAUCUGGAGGAAU
RNAcentral lists this ribosomal RNA (671 nucleotides) under uncultured marine bacterium. Its description in RNAcentral is "bacterial SSU rRNA". It matches the Rfam family "Bacterial small subunit ribosomal RNA", at positions 47 to 707 of the family's 1533-position model. The record is from RNAcentral.